UACGUAGGGUGCAAGCGUUGUCCGGAAUUAUUGGGCGUAAAGAGCGUGUAGGCGGCUCGAUUAGUCCGCUGUGAAAGUUCAGGGCUCAACCCUGGAAUGCCGGUGGAUACUGUCGAGCUAGAGUCCGGAAGGGGCGAGUGGAAUUCCAGGUGUAGCGGUGAAAUGCGUAGAUAUCUGGAGGAACACCGGUGGCGAAGGCGGCAUCCUGGACCGAUACUGACACUGAGGAGCGAAAGCCAGGGGAGCAAACGGG
Molecule: ribosomal RNA, 253 nt
Filed under: uncultured bacterium
Lineage: Bacteria
Description: partial 16S ribosomal RNA
Rfam family: Bacterial small subunit ribosomal RNA
Source: RNAcentral